GACGAACGCUGGCGGCGUGCUUAACACAUGCAAGUCGAACGGAAAGGCCCUGCUUUUGUGGGGUGCUCGAGUGGCGAACGGGUGAGUAACACGUGAGUAACCUGCCCUUGACUUUGGGAUAACUUCAGGAAACUGGGGCUAAUACCGGAUAGGAGCUCCUGCUGCAUGGUGGGGGUUGGAAAGUUUCGGCGGUUGGGGAUGGACUCGCGGCUUAUCAGCUUGUUGGUGGGGUAGUGGCUUACCAAGGCUUUGACGGGUAGCCGGCCUGAGAGGGUGACCGGCCACAUUGGGACUGAGAUACGGCCCAGACUCCUACGGGAGGCAGCAGUGGGGAAUAUUGCACAAUGGGCGGAAACCUGAUGCAGCAACGCCGCGUGCGGGAUGACGGCCAUCGGGUUGUAAACCGCUUUCGCCUGUGACGAAGCGUGAGUGACGGUAAUGGGUAAAGAAGCACCGGCUAACUACGUG
Molecule: ribosomal RNA, 468 nt
Filed under: uncultured bacterium
Lineage: Bacteria
Description: partial 16S ribosomal RNA
Rfam family: Bacterial small subunit ribosomal RNA
Source: RNAcentral